AGUGAACGCUGGCGGUAGGCCUAACACAUGCAAGUCGAACGGCAGCACAGUAAGAGCUUGCUCUUACUGGUGGCGAGUGGCGGACGGGUGAGGAAUACAUCGGAAUCUACUUUUUCGUGGGGGAUAACGUAGGGAAACUUACGCUAAUACCGCAUACGACCUACGGGUGAAAGCAGGGGAUCUUCGGACCUUGCGCGACUGAAUGAGCCGAUGUCGGAUUAGCUAGUUGGCGGGGUAAAGGCCCACCAAGGCGACGAUCCGUAGCUGGUCUGAGAGGAUGAUCGGCCACACUGGAACUGAGACACGGUCCAGACUCCUACGGGAGGCAGCAGUGGGGAAUAUUGGACAAUGGGCGCAAGCCUGAUCCAGCCAUACCGCGUGGGUGAAGAAGGCCUUCGGGUUGUAAAGCCCUUUUGUUGGGAAAGAAAAGCAGCAGGUUAAUACCCCGCUGUUCUGACGGUACCCAAAGAAUAAGCACCGGCUAACUUCGUG
RNAcentral lists this ribosomal RNA (492 nucleotides) under uncultured bacterium. RNAcentral describes it as "partial 16S ribosomal RNA". It matches the Rfam family "Bacterial small subunit ribosomal RNA", at positions 29 to 507 of the family's 1533-position model. The record is from RNAcentral.